UCAGAUAGCCGGAUGGCUGCCUUCGUCCAUUUUUGUGGGUGGGGGAGGAAAGUCCGGGCUCCACGGAGACAUGGUGCCGGGUAACGCCCGGCGGGGGUGACCCUAGGGAAAGUGCCACAGAGAGUAGACCGCCGGUGCGCAGUUGCCUGCCGGCAAGGGUGAAAGGGUGCGGUAAGAGCGCACCGCGCCGCCGGUAACGGCGGUGGCAUGGUAAACCCCACCAGGAGCAAGACCAAGUAGGAGUGGCGCGGGCUGAUUAUGUCGGUUCAGGUCGGGUUUCCGAGGCCGCUACUCGGGUCGGUCGCGCGAGGCGCUCGGUGACGGGCGUCCCAGAUGAAUGGCCAUCCCCCGCUCCGGCGGGGACAGAACCCGGCUUAUAGGCUAUCUGCCGCC
RNAcentral lists this RNase P RNA (393 nucleotides) under Alphaproteobacteria bacterium. RNAcentral's name for it is "RNase P RNA component class A". It matches the Rfam family "Bacterial RNase P class A". Rfam says of the family: Ribonuclease P (RNase P) is a ubiquitous endoribonuclease, found in archaea, bacteria and eukarya as well as chloroplasts and mitochondria. The record is from RNAcentral. Lineage: Bacteria; Pseudomonadati; Pseudomonadota; Alphaproteobacteria.